CCUACGGGAGGCAGCAGUGAGGAAUAUUGGUCAAUGGACGAGAGUCUGAACCAGCCAAGUAGCGUGAAGGAUGACUGCCCUAUGGGUUGUAAACUUCUUUUAUAUGGGAAUAAAACGUUCCACGUGUGGGCUUUUGUAUGUACCCUAUGAAUAAGGAUCGGCUAACUCCGUGCCAGCAGCCGCGGUAAUACGGAGGAUCCGAGCGUUCUCCGGAUUUAUUGGGUUUAAAGGGAGCGUAGGUGGAUUGUUAAGUCAGUUGUGAAAGUUUGCGGCUCAACCGUAAAAUUGCAGUUGAAACUGGCAGUCUUGAGUACAGGAGAGGUGGGCGGAAUGCGUGGUGUAGCGGUGAAAUGCUUAGAUAUCACGAAGAACUCCGAUUGCGAAGGCAGCUUACUGGACUGCAACUGACACUGAGGCUCGAAAGUGUGGGUAUCAAACAGGAUUAGAUACCCCUGUAGUC
Molecule: ribosomal RNA, 460 nt
Filed under: uncultured bacterium
Lineage: Bacteria
Description: partial 16S ribosomal RNA
Rfam family: Bacterial small subunit ribosomal RNA
Source: RNAcentral